This 703-nucleotide long non-coding RNA is filed under the name Homo sapiens (human). RNAcentral's name for it is "HSALNT0287012". The record is from RNAcentral. Lineage: Eukaryota; Metazoa; Chordata; Mammalia; Primates; Hominidae.
CUGUCCAUCUGCUGUCCUUAAAGUCUCCAUGCAGUCUUUGAGGUGAAUACAAAGGCAAACUCAACGGAGUCACCCUGACUUCUUUCAAUCCACCAAAAUGAUGUCACUCUGUAAAGAAUCAGGAAGAUACGAAUACAAUUGGCUCUCAGAAGCUGGUGUGAUCUGUCUUCAAUACAACAUUGGCUGUCUGUUUUCAAAGGCUACAGCUAUCAAAUGGUCACUUGACAAGGCUGACUCACAGAGAGGAAGGAAAGCCAGAAAGUUGUAGAAAGGAAAAUGCUAAAGAAGAGGAAGAGGGAAUAAGAAACAGAAAGGAGAAGAAAACAGAAUAAAAGGUAAAGUUAUAAAAGAGAUGUGAUGCUUGUUGGUAGAGAGAGGCUUCACAAAAACUCUCAUGCCAUCCUUGUUCUCAAAGUUAUUUUUGCCCUCGACUUUAUCACAGACGAAGUAUAUCACUUCAGCACAAGGUGUCGCUUCUUCAGUGCGUUUCAGUGCAAGAUCUCCUUUUUAUUUUUUUAAUUACUAGUUUUGCAUGGCCGAGAUUUCACCUUUUCCUACCUAUCCAUUCUCCAGUUUGCUAGGUCACUAUUUUGAGGGCCCUAAACUGUACCAAGGGCCCUUAAUGGCAAGCUAAGUGCCUGUUGUCUCUCUCAGCUGGAAGCUACAGGGAGUACUCUCUUCUGAUGAUUUUAGAAGCACCCUC